GAUGAACGCUGGCGGCGUGCUUAACACAUGCAAGUCGAACGGGAAACCUUUUAUUGAAGCUUCGGCGGAUUUAGCUGGUUUCUAGUGGCGGACGGGUGAGUAACGCGUGGGUAACCUGCCUUAUACAGGGGGAUAACAGUCAGAAAUGACUGCUAAUACCGCAUAAGCGCACAGAGCUGCAUGGCUCGGUGUGAAAAACUCCGGUGGUAUAAGAUGGACCCGCGUUGGAUUAGCUAGUUGGUGAGGUAACGGCCCACCAAGGCGACGAUCCAUAGCCGGCCUGAGAGGGUGAACGGCCACAUUGGGACUGAGACACGGCCCAGACUCCUACGGGAGGCAGCAGUGGGGAAUAUUGCACAAUGGGGGAAACCCUGAUGCAGCGACGCCGCGUGAAGGAAGAAGUAUCUCGGUAUGUAAACUUCUAUCAGCAGGGAAGAAAAUGACGGUAC
RNAcentral lists this ribosomal RNA (449 nucleotides) under uncultured bacterium. RNAcentral's name for it is "bacterial SSU rRNA". It matches the Rfam family "Bacterial small subunit ribosomal RNA", at positions 28 to 478 of the family's 1533-position model. The record is from RNAcentral.